Molecule: ribosomal RNA, 494 nt
Filed under: uncultured bacterium
Lineage: Bacteria
Description: bacterial SSU rRNA
Rfam family: Bacterial small subunit ribosomal RNA
Source: RNAcentral
AAAUGAAUUGACGGGGGCCCGCACAAGCAGCGGAGCAUGUGGUUUAAUUCGACGCAACGCGAAGAACCUUACCAGGUCUUGACAUCCAAUUAAACUUGUAGAGAUACAAGGUGAGCUUGCUCAAAUUGAGACAGGUGGUGCAUGGUUGUCGUCAGCUCGUGUCGUGAGAUGUUGGGUUAAGUCCCGCAACGAGCGCAACCCUUGUUUUCAGUUACUAACGCGUAAAGGCGAGGACUCUGAAGAGACUGCCGGGGACAACUCGGAGGAAGGUGGGGACGACGUCAAAUCAUCAUGCCCCUUAUGACCUGGGCUACACACGUGCUACAAUGGCUACUACAAAGAGAAGCGAAUCUGCAAGGAGGAGCGGAUCUCAUAAAAGUAGUCCCAGUUCGGAUUGUGGGCUGCAACCCGCCCACAUGAAGUCGGAGUUGCUAGUAAUCGCGGAUCAGCAUGCCGCGGUGAAUACGUUCCCGGGCCUUGUACACACCGCCCGU